AAUGGGCGCAAGCCUGACGGAGCAACGCCGCGUGCAGGAGGACGCUUUUCGGAGUGUAAACUGCUUUUCUGUGGGAAGAGGUAGGACGGUACCACAGGAAGAAGCCCCGGCUAACUACGUGCCAGCAGCCGCGGAAAUACGUAGGGGGCGAGCGUUGUCCGGAGUUACUGGGCGUAAAGGGCAUGCAGGCGGUCGGGCGCGUUUUGUGUGACAGCGGGAGGCUUAACUUCCCGAGUAUGCGAAAGACGGUUUGACUUGAGGGCUCGAGUGGGACACGGAAUUCCGGGUGGAGUGGUGAAAUGCGUAGAGAUCCGGAGGAACACCGAAGGCGAAGGCAGUGUCCUGGCGAGCGACUGACGCUGAGGUGCGAAAGCUAGGGGAGCGAACGGGAUUAGAUACCCCGGUAGUCCUAGCCGUAAACGAUGACCACCAGGUGUAGGAGGUAUCGACCCCUUCUGUGCCGGAGGAAACCCACUAAGUGGUCCGCCUGGGGAGUACG
This 499-nucleotide ribosomal RNA is filed under the name uncultured bacterium. RNAcentral describes it as "bacterial SSU rRNA". It matches the Rfam family "Bacterial small subunit ribosomal RNA", at positions 370 to 884 of the family's 1533-position model. The record is from RNAcentral.